This 511-nucleotide ribosomal RNA is filed under the name uncultured bacterium. Its description in RNAcentral is "partial 16S ribosomal RNA". It matches the Rfam family "Bacterial small subunit ribosomal RNA", at positions 899 to 1397 of the family's 1533-position model. The record is from RNAcentral.
ACUCAAAUGAAUUGACGGAAGCUCGCACAAGCGGUGGAGCAUGUGGUUUAAUUCGAUAUAACGCGAGUAAUCUUACCAGAUCUUGUAUGUUUUUAAAUUUUACGUAAAGUAAAAAUAUGCAAUUUAUGUUCAUAGAAAACACAGGUGCUGCAUGGCUGUCGUCAGUUCGUGUUGUGAGAUGUUUGGUUUGUUCCAAAAACGAACGUAAUUCCCAGGCUAUGUUAAGAUAAAAUAUAAAAAAUUUCACUUCAAUCAUAUGUCAACUGCCGCAGAAAUGCGGAGGAAGGUGGGGAAGAUGUCAAGUCAGUAUGGCCUUUAUGAUCUGGGCUACACACGUGCUACAAUGGUUUUUACAGUGAGAAGCGAGAGAGUGAUCUUUAGCAAAUCUCAGAAAGGAAAUCUUAGUUCGAAUUGUUCCUUGUAAUUCAGGAACAUGAAGUUGGAAUCGCUAGUAAUCGUGGAUUAGAACGUUACGGUGAAUAUGUUCUCGAGCUUAGUACACACCGCCCGU